RNAcentral lists this ribosomal RNA (252 nucleotides) under uncultured bacterium. RNAcentral describes it as "partial 16S ribosomal RNA". It matches the Rfam family "Bacterial small subunit ribosomal RNA", at positions 524 to 776 of the family's 1533-position model. The record is from RNAcentral.
UACGGAGGAUGCGAGCGUUAUCCGGAUUUAUUGGGUUUAAAGGGUGCGUAGGCGGACUGUCAAGUCAGCGGUAAAAUUGAGAGGCUCAACCUCUUCCCGCCGUUGAAACUGGUGGUCUUGAAUGGAUGAGAAGUACGCGGAAUGCGUGGUGUAGCGGUGAAAUGCAUAGAUAUCACGCAGAACUCCGAUUGCGAAGGCAGCGUACCGGCAUCCAACUGACGCUGAGGCACGAAAGCGUGGGGAUCAAACAGG